UUAUGGCUCAGGACGAACGCUGGCGGCAUGCUUAACACAUGCAAGUCGAACGGACUGAUCCUUCGGGAUGAAAGUUAGUGGCGAACGGGUGAGUAAUGUAUGAGCAACCUGCCUCUAUCAACGGGAUAACAGUUGGAAACGACUGCUAAUACGGUAUAAGACCACGGCACCGCAUGAUGCUGCGGUAAAAGAUUUUUCGGAUAGAGAUGGGCUCAUAUCCCAUUAGCUAGUUGGUGAGAUAAUAGCCCACCAAGGCGACGAUGGGUAGCCGAGCUGAGAGGCUGAUCGGCCACAUUGGGACUGAAACACGGCCCAGACUCCUACGGGAGGCAGCAGUGGGGAAUAUUGGGCAAUGGAGGCAACUCUGAACCCCCAGCAAUGCCGCGUGAGCGAUGAAGGUAAUUUUAUUGUAAAGCUCUUUUCUCAGGAACGAAUAAAAAUGACGGUACCUGAGGAAUAAGCCCCGGCUAACUACGUGCCAGCCGCUGC
This 489-nucleotide ribosomal RNA is filed under the name uncultured bacterium. Its description in RNAcentral is "bacterial SSU rRNA". It matches the Rfam family "Bacterial small subunit ribosomal RNA", at positions 17 to 518 of the family's 1533-position model. The record is from RNAcentral.